Molecule: ribosomal RNA, 253 nt
Filed under: uncultured bacterium
Lineage: Bacteria
Description: partial 16S ribosomal RNA
Rfam family: Bacterial small subunit ribosomal RNA
Source: RNAcentral
UACGUAGGGUGCGAGCGUUGUCCGGAAUUAUUGGGCGUAAAGGGCUCGUAGGCGGUUUGUCGCGUCGGGAGUGAAAUCCACUGGCUUAACUGGUGGCUUGCUUUCGAUACGGGCAGACUGGAGGUAUGCAGGGGAGAACGGAAUUCCUGGUGUAGCGGUGAAAUGCGCAGAUAUCAGGAGGAACACCGGUGGCGAAGGCGGUUCUCUGGGCCGAUACUGACGCUGAGGUGCGAAAGCGUGGGGAGCAAACAGG